AAUACCUAAUGUAAUUAACAGGAAAAUGUAUAUCAGUACACAAUAAGUUAUAUACACAUAGCCUACAAUGUAAAAAUUCUUCUGCUGAGGGGGGAGAAUGUAACGAG
Plutella xylostella (diamondback moth) is the source of this 107-nucleotide non-coding RNA. NCBI's taxonomy places the organism in Eukaryota, Metazoa, Arthropoda, Insecta, Lepidoptera, Plutellidae. The record is from RefSeq and is a predicted model, not a curated record.